This 301-nucleotide ribosomal RNA is filed under the name uncultured bacterium. RNAcentral describes it as "partial 16S ribosomal RNA". It matches the Rfam family "Bacterial small subunit ribosomal RNA", at positions 509 to 807 of the family's 1533-position model. The record is from RNAcentral.
CAGUAGCCGCGGGAAUACGUAGGUGGCAAGCGUUGUCCGGAAUUAUUGGGCGUAAAGGGCUCGCAGGCGGUUUCUUAAGUCUGAUGUGAAAGCCCCCGGCUCAACCGGGGAGGGUCAUUGGAAACUGGGAAACUUGAGUGCAGAAGAGGAGAGUGGAAUUCCACGUGUAGCGGUGAAAUGCGUAGAGAUGUGGAGGAACGCCAGUGGCGAAGGCGACUCUCUGGUCUGUAACUGACGCUGAGGAGCGAAAGCGUGGGGAGCGAACAGGAUUAGAUACCCGCGUAGUCCCUGUCUCUUAUAC